GCUCCCAUCGUCUAGUGGCCCAGGACGUCGCCCUCUCACGGCGAAAACAGGGGUUCGAACCCCCUUGGGAGCGCCA
This 76-nucleotide transfer RNA is filed under the name Hyphomicrobiales bacterium. RNAcentral's name for it is "tRNA-Glu". It matches the Rfam family "tRNA". From Rfam's summary of the family: Transfer RNA (tRNA) molecules are approximately 80 nucleotides in length. Their secondary structure includes four short double-helical elements and three loops (D, anti-codon, and T loops). Lineage: Bacteria; Pseudomonadati; Pseudomonadota; Alphaproteobacteria; Hyphomicrobiales. The record is from RNAcentral.